CAAUGAGGAAGUAAAAGUCGUAACAAGGUCUCCGUUGGUGAACCAGCGGAGGGAUCAUUGCUGGAACGCGCCCCAGGCGCACCCAGAAACCCUUUGUGAACUUAUACCUUACUGUUGCCUCGGCGCAUGCCGGCCCCCCUGGGGGCCCCUCCUUCUGGAGGAGCAGGCACGCCGGCGGCCAACCUAACUCUUGUUUUUACACUGAAACUCUGAGAAUAAAACAUAAAUGAAUCAAAACUUUCAACAACGGAUCUCUUGGUUCUGGCAUCGAUGAAGAACGCAGCGAAAUGCGAUAAGUAAUGUGAAUUGCAGAAUUCAGUGAAUCAUCGAAUCUUUGAACGCACAUUGCGCCCUCUGGUAUUCCGGAGGGCAUGCCUGUUCGAGCGUCAUUUCAACCCUCAAGCCUGGCUUGGUGAUGGGGCACUGCCUGUAAAAGGGCAGGCCCUGAAAUUCAGUGGCGAGCUCGCCAGGACCCCGAGCGCAGUAGUUAAACCCUCGCUCUGGAAGGCCCUGGCGGUGCCCUGCCGUUAAACCCCCAACUUCUGAAAAUUGACCUCGGAUCAGGUAGCAUGCCCGU
Molecule: ribosomal RNA, 577 nt
Filed under: Phomopsis sp. SQ362
Lineage: Eukaryota; Fungi; Ascomycota; Sordariomycetes; Diaporthales; Diaporthaceae
Description: eukaryotic LSU rRNA
Rfam family: 5.8S ribosomal RNA (bases 236-389)
Source: RNAcentral